UGUGCCUCACUGAGAGCUGCUAGCGCGACUAUACCGUGGCUUUGCUUCCUGCCCAAGUGGAUAGUGCAAGUGGUGAUGAGUAAUUUUUAGUGUUUCCCACAGGCUCCUCUGUAUAGUCUCUCCCAUGGCUCUUUUGUCCUUUCUUUUGUGUCUGUCCCUGAAACCAGGUGCAGAAAUGACUUGUACAGCCCACAGCCCUUCAGAAAGUAAAUAACAUCCAGGUGGUGUUUCAUUUGCUACUAUGGCAAGCACAAAGGUAUUGCGGUGAUGGUGGUAGGAGCUGGAGGAAGAAAGGAGGUCAGUGUGGGUGAUGAGGUCUAGAAGAGGUUGCAUUUGAAAGAGAAACAGAUGAAGAUUUUUGCCAAGCUUGUAGAGGAAGACUCGUGCAUAAAUUAGCCCAUAAUAAUCUGUGAAGAAAAACCUCUCAAGAUUUAGAGGUGUGGGUUUUCAAAGAGAUGAAGAGGAUAAGGAGUUUUCUGUUACAGAGUGAAGGUGGUUAAGAGUUUUCCAAUAGUGCUGCAGAAAAAAGAAGAGCUUGAGGAGGAAGAUGAGAUUGCUUUCUGCCCCCCACUUGGUAAGAGGGUACAGAGCAAAGUAGGAUGGGGGUUACGCCGGAAGCUAAAUAUUUCUCAUGUGAACUACUUGACACAGAAAUUCUGUAUGUUGGUGUAUUUCUGGGUCAUCCAGUCUAAUCUGUUGUAGGUAGAAGUGUUGUAGAGUUUCAUAAACUUUCUUUCAACAUGAGUAUUUUCAAAUCAUGCAUGAACAAAACAAAACGAAAAAAAAAAAAACCAAAACCAAAAACAAACAACAAAAAACCUCAAGCCCCAGGAGUUGCCCUGUUUCAGAAUGCUACUGAUAUGUUUGCACAAGUAACCAGAAUUUCUGUGGAACAUGCUAAGCAGAUUUCACUAGAGAUUUAUUAGUAACGUGAAAUUUUCCCGUAUCUUUUGAAAAUAGCUACUGAGAGGCUGUGUUUGCCUCUUCUGUGGCCUUAUUCGAGAUCAUGAUUUGCAUAGAUGCCUUGUGACCUAAGUCUGUCUUUUCUGUUUUUAACUGAUGAGUUCCACGUUGUGAAGGAAGACUGUUUGCAUGUGCUCACUGCUGCUUAGCUUAUGGUUCAGGAGAUGAUACUGUCUGUGUGUAUGACCGAGGAAGGGAUUGUUAGCAGAAGUGAUGGGCAGCUCUGACAUCCUGCUUCCAAAGAUACGUCAUUUCUUGGCCUUCUUUGCUGGCAUCCGAGAACUGACACAAACUGGAAUUUUUAUUCUCUUCUACUGAAACAAAGCAUUAGAACUUAAAAAAGAUUUGUUUCAAUAACAGCGUGUUAGCCUUAAGGAAUGCUGAAACUGGUCUAGGACAACUGCUUUUAGAAUAAAUUGGCUAACUCAGCAUGUGACUUUAGGAAAUGAACAGUUUCUAUUUGUAUAGCAAAUACAAGAACUUCACUGUUUUGACUUGAGUUAUGAAUGUCAUGUAUCUAACAAGACCUCCCAGCUCUUGUGACUUGGUUUACAUGGAUCACUUGACUGUAAGUUAGAUGACUGACAGAUAAAAAUGCUAGUUGUGAUGAUAUUAGAAAUUAUUAUACCUCUUGAACUUCAGCUUUCUCAGCAGAUUCAAGAAGAAAAAAAGUACAGAAACCUUUUAAAUCAAAACUAGUUGUUAAGAAAAUCCUGUGAAAGUCUUCAAAUCAACUGGUACUUCUGUAUCUGAAUUUCUUAAUACUGUUUUGUUACACUUUUAUGAGCACAGUUCUUUCACUGAGCAGUGAUUUUUUUUUUUUUUUUUUUGUGUGUGUGUGUGUUUUUUCUUUAGAAUUUAUGAAAUAUUUAUGUAUCUAAUAAGAUUGUCUGAAAGGGAUGGAAUGUUAUAGUGUUAACUGACCUUUGCAAAAUUGGUGUCAGUAGGUGAGUUGGGUUUUUUGAUUGGUGUGGAUUUUAUUGUUUUAGUUUUUUAAAUUUUACUUUAUUUUAUUGGAAAGCAGAACUGACUUUUCUGGUUGUAAGAGAGAUUGGAGGAGCUGAGGUUGCUGAAAUAGUGGAUCUCUGAAGGGCAUUAUUCACGUUUGCUUCUGUCUUUCCUGCGAUUAGCAGUUUCCAAAUAAAUAUUUUCAGAUGAGGCUACUGCACAAUUGCUUUUUUCUCCCUCAGUUGUCAUCUGCUUUCUACAAAGUUCCUGAUCUUGCAGUACUCUAGGGUCAUUUAUCUUGGAGAUGAAACCACACUGAGGUCAGGCUUUCCAAUAGGCAAAGCAACAGCUCUAGUGCUGGGAGUGUUCGGUCGCUCACUUCAGGAUAAGGGUUCUGGGCUAUAUAAGAGCACAGAUACAAACUAGGGAGAGUCUCGGCCAGUAUGGCUUUAAACAUGUAUUCCCAUAAACUGGGCCUCACGUGUGCUACGAUUAUUUUUUUUGUUCAUUCCCUGCUGACUUAAGUAGAAGAUGCUAUUGAUUGCUUUUUGCAGUCAAGUGAAAAUAAAUGUUGUAUGCAGUUGAUUUGGGGGCAGAAGAUGGAUCUGCUGGAAUGGAAACUACAUCUGGAGAAAAGAUGAAAAGGAAUAUGCACUGAAGCAAAUUGAAGGUACAGGGAUAUCCAUGUCGGCCUGUAGAGAGAUUGCACUUUUUCGAGAGCUGAAG
Long non-coding RNA from Tyto alba (common barn owl), 2637 nucleotides. RefSeq lists it as uncharacterized. The transcript has 4 exons. The record is from RefSeq and is a predicted model, not a curated record. NCBI's taxonomy places the organism in Eukaryota, Metazoa, Chordata, Aves, Strigiformes, Tytonidae.